Molecule: transfer RNA, 75 nt
Filed under: Toxocara canis (dog roundworm)
Lineage: Eukaryota; Metazoa; Nematoda; Chromadorea; Rhabditida; Toxocaridae
Rfam family: tRNA
About the family: Transfer RNA (tRNA) molecules are approximately 80 nucleotides in length.
Source: Rfam by way of RNAcentral
GGUGAUGGCAGCUCAGCGGGCAGAGCCUUCGCCUGGUAUGCGGAAAAAACCCGGAUUCGAUUCCCGGCUGCUCCG